UACGUAGGUGGCAAGCGUUAUCCGGAAUUAUUGGGCGUAAAGAGCGCGCAGGUGGUUGAUUAAGUCUGAUGUGAAAGCCCACGGCUUAACCGUGGAGGGUCAUUGGAAACUGGUCGACUUGAGUGCAGAAGAGGGAAGUGGAAUUCCAUGUGUAGCGGUGAUAUGCGUAGAGAUAUGGAGGAACACCAGUGGCGAAGGCGGCUCCUGGUCUGUAACUGACACUGAGGCGCGAAAGCGUGGGGAGCAAACAGGAUUAGA
RNAcentral lists this ribosomal RNA (258 nucleotides) under uncultured prokaryote. RNAcentral's name for it is "partial 16S ribosomal RNA". It matches the Rfam family "Bacterial small subunit ribosomal RNA", at positions 524 to 782 of the family's 1533-position model. The record is from RNAcentral.